CCCAUCCUCCGGGUGAGGAAAAGCAGGUGGUGCAGGGUUUCAGCAGGAAACCCGAAGGCGGGACAUGACGACGUGCACAGCGGUAAGGGAGAACGUGAACCAGAAGGACAGAGACAAGUGGACCCAAACCUUUGUAUGUCGAAUCCGCAUGCGUGGUCCCAGGAUGUCUAUGUGAUUCUAAAUACCACUCUCAGCUCACAAGAACAAAAUCAGCUGUGGCAGGCAGCUCAAGACGAAGCUGGUCACAGACAUAAGUUCUGAGACAGGUAAACCUACACAAGGUGGAGCUGCCUGGCCUCCCCAUGGACCAUGCUCAAAUGCAGCAGAAGACAUUGGACAACAAAAUGCCCCAUCCUGGCAUUCUUUGAGACCUUACACCAGGGCUGCUGGACUGUCCUAGCCACCAAAGAGUGGUCUAACAUACGUGCAUUCACCAGUGAAGUUGUCCUGGCAAAACACGUGGCACCAGCGUCUACAUGGGCAUCAACCUUCAUCCUGUCGACUCCCCUAGGCUCCAGUACAGUGCCCUCUGCCAGCAGGAAGUAGUUAGAGAAAUCUUUGCCCUUUUUCAUAAUAAUAAUCAUAAGAUGGGAUAUGAAAGGAUUUUGGCCCAGACAGGACACUGUAGCCAAGAAAGCAGGAAACCAGAAGCAGGAAGCUCCUAUCUCCCCCACCCCUAGGAAGUUAUCUGUGACGCCAUCUUCCUGCCCCUGGGAAUUUACAUGUGGCGCAAAACCUAGGACCAAUGGAUUACCUGUGGAUCCCUAAUGCCCACCUUAGGUUCCACCCCAAACUGAGGCUACUUACAUACCCCCAUGCCACGUGUCCGCCAGAGAGAUUGCUGGUCGCCAGCGGUGGGGGGUGCCGGUCAUCUCUCUCCGUGUUCUCAGAAUAAAGGCCGCUUUUUAUUUUAUAC
This 916-nucleotide long non-coding RNA is filed under the name Cavia porcellus (domestic guinea pig). Its description in RNAcentral is "lncRNA (ENSCPOG00000032506.1)". The record is from RNAcentral. Lineage: Eukaryota; Metazoa; Chordata; Mammalia; Rodentia; Caviidae.